RNAcentral lists this long non-coding RNA (3497 nucleotides) under Homo sapiens (human). Its description in RNAcentral is "HSALNT0181001". Lineage: Eukaryota; Metazoa; Chordata; Mammalia; Primates; Hominidae. The record is from RNAcentral.
AUGUUAGUUUCAUUUUUAUUCAAUUAAAAAAUACUCUAUAAUUUUCCUUUUUAUUCCUUCUUUUACCCAUGGAAUAUUAAGAUAUUUGGAAGGCAAAUAAACAUACAAAAAGUUGCCUAUAUAUAUACAAAGACUUGUAUACAAAUGUUCAUAACAGUUUUAUUUGUAAUAGUAAAGAAAACAACCCAAAUGUAUAUCAACAAGUAGAAGUAUUAUAAUAAAAACUGUGGUACAUCCACACAAUAGUAUACUACUCAACAAGAGAAAAGAAUGACUAUUAAUACACACAACAACAUGAAUGAAUCUCAACAUAAUUACGCUGCAUGAAAAAAAGACAGAUGAAAAAACACGUACUGUAUGGUUCUAACAUAAAAUUCUGGAAAAUGCAUACUACUUCAAAGUGACACAGAUCAGACCAGCAAUUGCCUAAGAAACAUGGGAGAGAACAGGAAGGGGUGGGAGGAGGGACUCCAAAGAGGCAAGAGAAAACUUCUGGGAGUGAUGGACUUUCAUCAACUCGAUUGUGAUGAUGAUUUCAUAAGUGUGUAUAUAUAUGUCAAACCUAUCAAAUUUUACACAUUAUAUGUGUGUAGUUCAUAGUAUAUGAAUUAUACCUCUAUACAGUCCUUAAAGAAAAAAACACAAAUCCAGAACAGAUACAAUGGCUCUUCACUGCUCAGAACACUAGGACGGCUGCAGUGACUGGGUUACCUUGUCCGAGGUUGCCUGUUUUCCAACUUCAGGAGCUCUGCAAUUCUUUGACUCAGUUUCCAUGUCUACUUGAUUCUCUGCUACUCUCUCUAUUUCACUGCCCUCUGUGGGUUUAUGUGUCAUGUUAAAACUCCCCAAAAGAAGAUCACAAUUGACAUUCAAGGAGCCUGGCCACCUCACAGUUCAUGUAACUCUUUUUUAUUUAGUGCAUGUAUGAUUGUCCUUGUUAGGUUAAUGCAACCAAUUUCCUGUUCAAUCUGUUGUGGCCAGGGAAUCGGGGUCCAUGAUGGAAAGCAAAGCACCCUAUGUGGCAGGAAGUGUCUUUGACUUUCCUUUAGAAGAGGACUGGAGCUGAGAGGAUUUCUUAAACCCAUUUCCUCCUCACCGUUACAAGUUAGGAGGCCACAUCUUUCUAUUCACAUGUGCCUCCAGGAGCUCAGGCAACUCUUCCCUCAUCUAGCAGUUUGCUGAAAUGGGCUUGGCAACUACUUCCAGUCCUCCUCCAAGACAGGAAUUUCCAAGACAGUGAGCAUUUUAGCUCCUGCUGCUGGACAAGAAUAGCAGACAAAGACUGACACAUUGCUGAGUUAUCUCCAAAGCACAAAUGGCUCUCAGGCACAGUACAUUACAUAAGCAGAAAGUGUUACUGUAUUCUCCCUGUGGCCAACUCCUGGAUUGCAGAAAAGGUUAAGCAUAUAAUACAUCUGCAUAUCUUACAUCUUACAUAAAUGUGUUACAACAAAAGGGAAGGGGAAUCAUUAUAUGAAAAACUAGAGUAUGCUCUACCAUCCCCAAAGAUUGCAGACCAUAGAAAGGUCAUACACAGAAAGAAGAGAGCAGGCAGAGGCUCUCCUGGUAAAACAUGGACUUGACUUGAAAUUCUCCACCUCAGCUACUUUCUCCAAAGUCAAGGAACCACAAAACCCUGGUGUGUGAGUUUAUUUUGGUUCACUGGGCUACUGUUUCUGCCAAGAAACACCUUGCUGCCACUUUGUCCUGCUUAUUGUCAUGCUGGUCACUUCCACGUACAGAAUUAAGAGGCCAUCACUGAGCAGAGGGAGGAGUGGAAGCUCAAAUGUUUGUUAUUGUUAAAUUCACUCGUGCCCUUCUGAAACGUGUGCACGUGUGUAAAAGGACAGAGACAGAAGAUUGAUGUUUUUGCCUAAGAAAUUUCUCCAAAACAAAGGCAAUGGACCUAGAGCUUUUCAGUAAAGCUUAUCUUUUCUCUUUUAUCAUCCCCCUUUCUCAUUUCAAAGAGUUUCUUUUUUUCAGUGAUUAUUCCAUAACGAGUAAUGUGACAAACAACCAUCAUUACAAAGUCAGAAGCAAAAGAUGGAGCUGUAAAAUGUGAACGAAUGUAAAUCAAAUAUUCAUGUGUGCUGGCAACAAAGAGUUGAGUGUUUUGCACUGUGGUUAAGUAUCAAUUACUGAAAACUAAGAUACGUCACUAUCUACAUACACACACACACACCUACACACACACACACACACACACACACACACACACACGGGACAGCAAUCUAAGUGGCACAAAGCACAGAACUUAGAGUCACCUGACUGGGCCCAUGUCUCUGCCUUGCCACUUAACAGCUAUGAGCAAAUGUUUUCAAACUCUGAGUUUCAGUUUCUAAUCAACUUACAUAGAUAAGAAUUAACACCUGAUCUACCCAUUUCCCAAGACUAUUGUGAGAAUGAGAUUAUAUAGAAAAAAUGGUUACUGUAUGCCAUCAUGUUUUUAACUAAUAUAAUUCUCUGUAGAAUAGCAAAUGGCUUUUAACGAUUAAUUCACUCAACUUUUAUUGAGUGUCUACUCUGUACCAAACAUGUCUACUUCUUUGUAACAGUCCUUUUUAAGCUUUCAGAUUCCAGGGUGAUUUUCUAUUUGGAAAUAAGGAUUUUAUUGCUUCCAUAUCUUCUAUGUAACUUCUAUAUUUAGGCUUCUAUAUAAUAAAGAGGUAUAUAUACAUUACACACAUACACACACACACACACACACACACAGUGACAGUAAGAGACGAUCAUGUCAAUGUUAUCCAGAAAGGUACCAAUAAAACCAAGAUAAAAAUUAAAACUGCUUAAAAAUAACAAUACUUUACCCAGAAAUGUGCUAUGCUAAAGUAUUUUAAGAAAAGAAAUCACAAAUAGUUGUUCUUAGCAACUUCAUAAUCUUGCUCUAAACUGGGAAAAUACAGUUUGAAGCCUUCAUCAUCAUCACUUCAUUGGAGCUUCCAAGCUGUUGCAAUUUAUCAUCCCAUACUUUAAGUUUCUUUCUGAUCUUCCACAUCCUGAAGUUCUUUCUAGUUUAAGGAUCUUGGUCCUACGUUUCCUUGUGCUGUGUAUGUCGAUUUUCUCCGUCACUGCCUGUCUGUUGUACUAAGUCAGUGUCUAAGCUCAAAAAGACAAAAGCAAAAGGGCAGGAUUUGUGCUCGGUGUUUCUAGUCUGCUCGAUCUUGAGAUUUAGUUUAUUUCAAUAAUUUAGAAGACUUCGGGUGACUUACUGAAAGUGCGUCAUGAAUAAACUGUAACAAAUCAACUCCAAAAUUGGAAGAUGACUUAGGUUCCAUGUUUUUCUUCCUGCUGUGCCAGGCUCAGCGCUGCCUUCUCAUCUCACGUGCUGGCAACUUCACAGGGCAGAGCUUCUGUCUGAUGCUCUUCUUACCAGAACUACUAAGAGUUAUGUUCAAUUUUCAACAGUAGAUAUUAGAUGGUUAAGACAUCCCAGGAAUCCAGUGUGUUUUUAGUAGAUGUUAUUAACACAUUGUUGAGUAGGUUACACUGUAUUGAAG